Molecule: ribosomal RNA, 751 nt
Filed under: Stutzerimonas kunmingensis
Lineage: Bacteria; Pseudomonadati; Pseudomonadota; Gammaproteobacteria; Pseudomonadales; Pseudomonadaceae
Description: bacterial SSU rRNA
Rfam family: Bacterial small subunit ribosomal RNA
Source: RNAcentral
GAUUCAGCGGCGGACGGGUGAGUAAUGCCUAGGAAUCUGCCUGAUAGUGGGGGACAACGUUUCGAAAGGAACGCUAAUACCGCAUACGUCCUACGGGAGAAAGCAGGGGACCUUCGGGCCUUGCGCUAUCAGAUGAGCCUAGGUCGGAUUAGCUAGUUGGUGAGGUAACGGCUCACCAAGGCGACGAUCCGUAACUGGUCUGAGAGGAUGAUCAGUCACACUGGAACUGAGACACGGUCCAGACUCCUACGGGAGGCAGCAGUGGGGAAUAUUGGACAAUGGGCGAAAGCCUGAUCCAGCCAUGCCGCGUGUGUGAAGAAGGUCUUCGGAUUGUAAAGCACUUUAAGUUGGGAGGAAGGGCAUUAACCUAAUACGUUAGUGUUUUGACGUUACCGACAGAAUAAGCACCGGCUAACUUCGUGCCAGCAGCCGCGGUAAUACGAAGGGUGCAAGCGUUAAUCGGAAUUACUGGGCGUAAAGCGCGCGUAGGUGGUUUGUUAAGUUGAAUGUGAAAGCCCCGGGCUCAACCUGGGAACUGCAUCCAAAACUGGCAAGCUAGAGUAUGGCAGAGGGUGGUGGAAUUUCCUGUGUAGCGGUGAAAUGCGUAGAUAUAGGAAGGAACACCAGUGGCGAAGGCGACCACCUGGGCUAAUACUGACACUGAGGUGCGAAAGCGUGGGGAGCAAACAGGAUUAGAUACCCUGGUAGUCCACGCCGUAAACGAUGUCGACUAGCCGUUGGGAUCCUUGAG